UAGAGGGGGAGCAUCAUGGAGGGGCUGGGGAGGGGGGUGCUCCCCCACCCCUCCAUGACGCUCCCCCCUCCAUCAUGAGGU
Non-coding RNA from Pelobates cultripes (western spadefoot toad), 81 nucleotides. NCBI's taxonomy places the organism in Eukaryota, Metazoa, Chordata, Amphibia, Anura, Pelobatidae. The record is from the annotation of a GenBank genome assembly.